Molecule: RNase P RNA, 393 nt
Filed under: Desulfobacterales bacterium
Lineage: Bacteria; Pseudomonadati; Thermodesulfobacteriota; Desulfobacteria; Desulfobacterales
Description: RNase P RNA component class A
Rfam family: Bacterial RNase P class A
About the family: Ribonuclease P (RNase P) is a ubiquitous endoribonuclease, found in archaea, bacteria and eukarya as well as chloroplasts and mitochondria. Its best characterised activity is the generation of mature 5'-ends of tRNAs by cleaving the 5'-leader elements of precursor-tRNAs. Cellular RNase Ps are ribonucleoproteins.
Source: RNAcentral
AGAGCAGACCAGGCGAUCGCCGGCACGCCCGUGCCGGAGGAAAGUCCGAACACCACAGGGCAGGGAGCUCCGUAACGCGGAGUCGCGGCGACGCGAAGGAAAGUGCAACAGAGAGCAGACCGCCUCGCCUCGCAUCCCCUUCCGGGAAGCGAUGGCGCGGUAAGGGUGAAACGGUGCGGUAAGAGCGCACCAGUUCCCCGGGUGACCGGGGAAGCUUGGCAAACCCCUCCCGGUGCAAGACCAAAUAGAGGAGCGUUCGAGGGCGGCCCGCCCAAGCUCCCGGGUAGGUCGCAAGAGGUGUCGGGCAACCGGCAUCCAUAGAUGAAUGAUCGCCGUCCGGCUUUCGGGCAACCGGGGCCGGGAACAGAAUUCGGCUUACGGGCUGCUCUGGCC